This 220-nucleotide unclassified non-coding RNA is filed under the name Hevea brasiliensis (rubber tree). Lineage: Eukaryota; Viridiplantae; Streptophyta; Magnoliopsida; Malpighiales; Euphorbiaceae. The record is from RNAcentral.
UAUUCGAGGAAGCGACUUCGGCCAGCGCUGCGGCGUAGCUUCCAGCGGCUGUGGCGGACAUUUUAGCGCCGCCGUGAGAGCGGUGGUGGCUGAGGCGGAGUCCGCGGGAAGGAAAAGUGGCGGAGAAGGAGAGGUUUACGGGAGUGGUUCGGGAGAAUCGGACGGUUGGAAGGAGCUUGGCCUGGAGAGAGGCGGCGGUUUGGUGAAGGGCGGCCAUUGA